Molecule: ribosomal RNA, 882 nt
Filed under: Hepatozoon sp.
Lineage: Eukaryota; Apicomplexa; Hepatozoidae
Description: SSU rRNA
Rfam family: Eukaryotic small subunit ribosomal RNA
Source: RNAcentral
ACCGUGGUAAUUCUAGAGCUAAUACAUGAGCAAUAUCUCAACUAUUUUGGAAGAGAUGCAUUUAUUAGAUAAAAAACCAAUACAUACUUUUUCAAGUAUGAAAGUUGGUGAUUUACAAUAACUUAGCAAAUCGCAUAGUGAAAACAGGCGAUAAAUCAUUCAAGUUUCUGACCUAUCAGCUUUCGACGGUAUGGUAUUGGCUUACCGUGGCAGUGACGGUUAACGGGGGAUUAGGGUUCGAUUCCGGAGAGGGAGCCUGAGAAACGGCUACCACAUCUAAGGAAGGCAGCAGGCGCGCAAAUUACCCAAUUCUAACAGCAUAAGAGAGGUAGUGACAAGAAAUAACAAUACAAGGCAGUUAAAAUGCUUUGUAAUUGGAAUGAUAGAAAUUUAAACACUUUUUAAAGUAUCAAUUGGAGGGCAAGUCUGGUGCCAGCAGCCGCGGUAAUUCCAGCUCCAAUAGCGUAUAUUAAAAUUGUUGCAGUUAAAAAGCUCGUAGUUGAAUUUCUGUUAAAAAUAACCGGUCUGCUUUUAUUAAAAGUGGUAUCUUGGUGUGUUUUUAGCAAUAAUGUCCUUUGAAAUGUUUUUUACUUUAUUGUAAUAAAUAAUAUUCAGGAUUUUUACUUUGAGAAAAUUAGAGUGUUUCUAGCAGGCUAACGCUUUGAAUACUGCAGCAUGGAAUAAUAAAAUAGGAUUUUAGUUCUACAUUAUUGGUUUUAAGAACUAAAUUAAUGAUUGAUAGGGACAGUUGGGGGCAUUUGUAUUUAACUGUCAGAGGUGAAAUUCUUAGAUUUGUUAAAGACAAACUACUGCGAAAGCAUUUGCCAAAGAUGUUUUCAUUAAUCAAGAACGAAAGUUAGGGGAUCGAAGACGAUCAGAUAU